UACAGAGGGGGCAAGCGUUGUUCGGAAUUACUGGGCGUAAAGGGCUGGUAGGUGGCCAACUAAGUCAGACGUGAAAUCCCCAGGCUCAACUUGGGAACUGCGUCUGAUACUGGAUGGCUUGAAUUCGGGAGAGGGAUGCAGAAUUCCAGGUGUAGCGGUGAAAUGCGUAGAUAUCUGGAGGAAUACCGGUGGCGAAGGCGGCAUCCUGGACCGAGAUUGACACUGAUGAGCGAAAGCUAGGGGAGCAAACGGG
RNAcentral lists this ribosomal RNA (253 nucleotides) under uncultured bacterium. Its description in RNAcentral is "partial 16S ribosomal RNA". It matches the Rfam family "Bacterial small subunit ribosomal RNA", at positions 524 to 776 of the family's 1533-position model. The record is from RNAcentral.